CCUACGGGGGCAGCAGUGGGGAAUAUUGGACAAUGGGGGCAACCCUGAUCCAGCCAUGCCGCGUGAGUGAUGACGGCCUUAGGGUUGUAAAGCUCUUUUCUCCGGGACGAUAAUGACGGUACCGGAGGAAUAAGCCCCGGCUAACUUCGUGCCAGCAGCCGCGGUAAUACGAAGGGGGCUAGCGUUGCUCGGAAUCACUGGGCGUAAAGGGCGCGUAGGCGGCUGAUUUAGUCGAGGGUGAAAGCCUGUGGCUCAACCACAGAAUUGCCUUCGAUACUGGUUGGCUUGAGACCGGAAGAGGACAGCGGAACUGCGAGUGUAGAGGUGAAAUUCGUAGAUAUUCGCAAGAACACCAGUGGCGAAGGCGGCUGUCUGGUCCGGUUCUGACGCUGAGGCGCGAAAGCGUGGGGAGCAAACAGGAUUAGAUACCCUGGUAGUCCACGCUGUAAACGAUGAAUGCUAGCCGUUGGUCUGCAUGCAGGUCAGUGGCGCCGCUAACGCAUUAAGCAUUCCGCCUGGGGAGUACGGUCGCAAGAUUAAAACUCAAAGGAAUUGACGG
This 559-nucleotide ribosomal RNA is filed under the name uncultured bacterium. RNAcentral's name for it is "bacterial SSU rRNA". It matches the Rfam family "Bacterial small subunit ribosomal RNA", at positions 338 to 916 of the family's 1533-position model. The record is from RNAcentral.